GAUGAAGAACGCAGUGAAAUGCGAUACGUAAUGUGAAUUGCAGAGUUCAGUGAAUCAUCGAGUCUUUGAACGCACAUUGCGCCCCCUGGUAUUCCGGGGGGCAUGCCUGUCCGAGCGUCAUUGCUGCCCUCAAGCACGGCUUGUGUGUUGGGCCUCCGUCCUCCUCCCGGGGGACGGGCCCGAAAGGCAGCGGCGGCACCGCGUCCGGUCCUCGAGCGUAUGGGGCUUCGUCACCCGCUCUUGUAGGCCCGGCCGGCGCUUGCCGACACAUCAAUCUUUUUUCCAGGUUGACCUCGGAUCAGGUAGGGAUACCCGCUGAACUUAAGCAUAUCAAUAAGCGGAGGA
RNAcentral lists this unclassified non-coding RNA (345 nucleotides) under soil metagenome. RNAcentral describes it as "partial contains 5.8S ribosomal RNA, internal transcribed spacer 2, and large subunit ribosomal RNA". The stretch from base 1 to 120 matches the Rfam family "5.8S ribosomal RNA", at positions 35 to 154 of the family's 154-position model. The record is from RNAcentral.